Non-coding RNA from Peromyscus maniculatus bairdii (prairie deer mouse), 3336 nucleotides. Lineage: Eukaryota; Metazoa; Chordata; Mammalia; Rodentia; Cricetidae. The record is from RefSeq and is a predicted model, not a curated record.
GUAUGGUUCCAUGGCUCAGGAUGAAUAAGUCAACUGCUAUUCGAUAAAAGGCUGGGGCAAGUGUUGACUAAACGCUUUGGUAUAACAAAAGUAACUCUUAAAUUUUGUUAUUAUCUAAAGCUUGGAUUGCUCUCUGUGUAACCUGAAGCUGGAAAAAACCUCUCAGGUGGUUCCUGUAUGACAUGUAACCAACCUAGAUUCCAUUGGCAAUAACAGACCUGCAUGGCAGCUGUCUGAAGAGAUUGUCCAACAAAGUAAUGGGUCAUUGGCAUACUGGCAGAGAGAAUGACAUCAUCUAUUCUGUAGGGAGGUACAUGUUGAGGAAGAACAAAGAAAACCCGAGUGCUGACUGCUCAGUUCAGGCUGUCAAGAUUUUUCUAAAAUGAGUUUCUAUGACUCUUGAGUCUUCCUUUGAAAUAAAGCAACAGAAGAAAGAAACACCAGAUUCUCCAAGAAUAAAAUCUUUACCUACUGCUUAACUACCUACUCAUCAGUCCCAGACAGACCCUAGGCAUCACCUCUGACUACUUCUACUUGUCAAGAUCUAUUGCUCUGUCACCUAGAGAGAUAAGGCUGUUGGCACAGAUAUGGCAGAGUAUUGUGGCAUUGAUGGCUACAAGUAUAAAACAGGAACCUGGAGCUGGUGACACAUGAGGCUGUUGAAUGUGAUGCGAGACAGAAAAGAAACAGCUAAAGAGAGGAGUCUGAAAGAUGAGACCCUGAAUGGACCCAAGGAUGAAUCUUUCUUUCUGGACUUUUGGGUGCACCUGCAUGAACUGACCUGCUUUGCGAUAUAUCCCUUCAUCUAGCUGCCCCAUAUUGGCCUGGUGAAUUUCUCAUCCUCACUUUUGGCCUCUAGUAUUGGCCCUUUCUUUUGAAUCAAGUUUGAAUCCAGUUGCUAUGGAGGGACAUUCCCAGUUCUGCUCUUGAUGGCAGCAAGAAGAACAAGAGGAGGAGCCCUGAUUUCACAGCACCUGAUCUCACUCGCCAGCAAUCUCACCAGGAGCAAGUGGAUUGAUCGAGUUUGGAUCUCUGCUCCCAGGUCUCUGCUUCAGCUCCUGAAGCAGAGAUGUCGUUUAACGUGAUAGAUUCCCCCUGGAGAAGCACCCAGGGCUGUGACAGAAAAAGACAGAAUUACUGGCUGCCUGGCAGGCAGAUUGAAAGUGCUGGACCAGCUAAAAGGUUGUUUUCCUGUCAUUCAGGUUUUACUAGAAAGCUUGCGUAGAGGGAAGCAGUCAGGAGGAGAGAGGUCGGGGUUACAUGGGGUGCAGUGAAUCAAGCUUCCUCUCUCAGACAAGUAUUUGCUUGCUUUGCUCCAAACUCUCUCUUCUCCCACCCCACCCUAGCACUUCUACCAGGAACCUCAGGCCAAGUCACCCCUGAACCACCUCCUACUAUACCGAGAAUGCUAAGGGGAUGACCCCCUGGCUCACAAAGGAUGACACGGAGAUUCAAGAGGGGCACUGGGAGUCAGGGAAAGCCUGGGCUAAGCUCUAGGUCUCUGUUUUGCCUUUCUUUACUUCUGCAUAUUUAUAAUCCUGUUCUCUCUCCUGGAAAUUCCUUUUCCAACUUCUGCCUAGUGACUGAAUUUUAUUAACUGCUGUUGAUUGAUAACAUUCUUGUACCUGUGUUCUAGGCCCUCAUAGUCUAGCAUUAAAAUAAACAGGGUAAUAUCUUUAGUGAAUGAAAAUUUUCAUUUCUUUAUGGCAGGUCAGCAAUAAGCAAAAUAAAUAUAGACCAAGCACUUACAGCAUUUUACGUGUUGUUAACAUCCUAUGUGGGAAAAUGUGGCAAGUGAAGCUUAUAAAGUCUAGGAGGUGGGGAGAGACUUUAGAUGGAAUAGUCACAGCAAGAACUUGAAGAUAAGAAAGUCAGCACCAGGUUAAAAGGAGGAGGAGGAGGAGACAGCGAAGCAAACAAUGUUAGGCAAGAUCUUCUGGAACCAGCAAGAAGGCUGAUGUGACUGGGCAUGUGUGAGUAAGACAAGGCUGAGGGAGUGAGUGGAGGUGGAUAGUGAGUGGAAAUAGUGAAACAACUUUGGCUUUCCAGUGGCUAAAAUCAGAAAAAAAUGGAACUGUGACACUGUCUGACUUAAUUUUGAAAGCAUCUUCAUAGUAAGAAUAGAAGCAGCUAGAGCUGUAAGAGGCAACAGUAUGAAUUUAUCAAUAUCUCAGAAAGAGGGUGGUAUCAAUAGAAACAAAAUUUAGUCAAAUUACAGAUGAUGUCUGACAACAGAAGGAAUUGAUGAGUUGUAAGUGAGAAGCUGGCAAUGAUCCAAACAUUUUAGCCUUGCAUGACCAUAGGAUAGAACCAUCAUUAAUGGAGUGAAGGGACUCUCGGUUGUGAGUUUCUGGAGUAGGCCAAGUUUGAGGUGCCCACUAGACACUCAGGCAGUUAUCACAUGACACUUAGAGGUAUAAACCUUGAGUUCAGAAAGAGAUUUCUGAUAUAGACCUACACUAUAAAGCAUCUGAAUGUGCAUGAUAUUUUAAGUCAUCAUCAAAAGCAAAAUCACCAACAGAAGACUAUUAACAGAAGAAGGAAGAGGCUGGAAGAAUAUUCCAACUGGUAAGUUAUCAAGGAGAUGUGAAGGCAGUCAAGGAAAUGGAGAGAAACUAAGAUAACCGGCACUGAGUUAAGGAACACUGCAGGAGGAUGGAUAGAUGGAAUGUCCUAAAAGAAGUUGGACCGUUGCUUGAAAGGGAUGGGGCAGAUUGUGAAAAAAAAAUAGAUACAUGUGGAGCUUAAGAAAGUCAAAUUUAUAGAAGUGGUGGUCAAGCAAUGAUUUCUAUGGCUAGUGGGUAGGAGAAACAAGGUGUUGAUCAAGUAGCACAAAGCCCAGUUGUGAGUAAGUGCUGAAUAUCUCAGGUACAGCAAGGGUGGUGAUGCAGAUGUUAAUUUGAAUGUGGCAAUCAUUUCACAAUGUACACAUAAGAUUAAAUGAUCACAUUGUGUACCAUCAAAUAUACAUACUCUUACUAAAUCUUUUAAAAUGAAUUUUAAUGAAUGUCUAUUGUGUUAGGGAACAUGGAACCUGUUGGCAAUCUUAUAAAGGCAACCUGUGAUGGGUAAUCUUGACUGUCAACUUGACAGGCUCUAGAAUAACCUAGGAUAAAAACUGCUGUACAUAUCUAGAUUGAGUUAAUUGAGGGAUAAAGACCCACCUUAAAUGCUGGUGGUACCAUUCUAUGGGCUUAUUGAAAAGGAGUAAAGGGAGCUAGCUAGAGUCUUCCUGGAUGGCCCAAGGUCAGGACAAAUCUCUCUCACCCGCCAGUCCGCAGCUGCUCAGACCCAACCAAGUAAACACACAGAGACUUAUAUUGCUUACAAACUAUA